Molecule: ribosomal RNA, 119 nt
Filed under: Pteropus alecto (black flying fox)
Lineage: Eukaryota; Metazoa; Chordata; Mammalia; Chiroptera; Pteropodidae
Source: RNAcentral
GUCGAUGGCCAUGCUACUCUGAACAUGCCCAAUCCUGUCUGAUCUCGGAAGCUAAGCAGGAUCGGGCCUGGUUAGUACUUGGAUGGGAGACCACCUAGGAAGACCAGGUGCUGUAGGUG